GACGAACGCUGGCGGCGUGCUUAACACAUGCAAGUCGAACGGUGAACCUCUUCGGAGGGGAUAAGUGGAGAACGGGUGAGUAACACGUGGGCAACCUGCCCCCGGCUCUGGGAUAACUCCAAGAAAUUGGGGCUAAUACCGGAUGUUCACCGCUUCCCGCAUGGGUGGUGGUGGAAAGGGUUUCCGGCUGGGGAUGGGCCCGCGGCCUAUCAGCUUGUUGGUGGGGUAGUGGCCUACCAAGGCGACGACGGGUAGCCGGCCUGAGAGGGUGACCGGCCACACUGGGACUGAGACACGGCCCAGACUCCUACGGGAGGCAGCAGUGGGGAAUAUUGCGCAAUGGGCGGAAGCCUGACGCAGCGACGCCGCGUGGGGGAUGACGGCCUUCGGGUUGUAAACCUCUUUCAGCAGGGACGAAGCGCAAGUGACGGUACCUGCAGAAGAAGCACCGGCCAACUACGUG
This 463-nucleotide ribosomal RNA is filed under the name uncultured bacterium. Its description in RNAcentral is "partial 16S ribosomal RNA". It matches the Rfam family "Bacterial small subunit ribosomal RNA", at positions 28 to 507 of the family's 1533-position model. The record is from RNAcentral.